AUGGUUCAUUCAAAUUUCUUCCCUAUCAACUUUCGAUGUUUGGGUAUUGGCCAAACAUGGUUGCAACGGGUAACGGAGGGUUAGGGCUCGACCCCGGAGAAGGAGCCUGAGAAACGGCUACUACAUCCAAGGAAGGCAGCAGGCGCGCAAAUUACCCAAUCCCGACUCGGGGAGGUAGUGACAAUAAAUACUGAUACAGGGCUCUUUUGGGUCUUGUAAUUGGAAUGAGUACAAUUUAAAUCCCUUAACGAGGAACAAUUGGAGGGCAAGUCUGGUGCCAGCAGCCCGCGGUAAUUCCAGCUCCAAUAGCGUAUAUUAAAGUUGUUGUGGUUAAAAAGCUCGUAGUUGAACCUUGGGCCUGGCUGGCCGGUCCGCCUCACCGCGUGUACUGGUCCGGCCGGGCCUUUCCCUCUGUGGAACCCCAUGCCCUUCACUGGGUGUGGCGGGGAAACAGGACUUU
RNAcentral lists this ribosomal RNA (460 nucleotides) under Penicillium sp. F11. RNAcentral's name for it is "SSU rRNA". It matches the Rfam family "Eukaryotic small subunit ribosomal RNA", at positions 290 to 758 of the family's 1831-position model. The record is from RNAcentral. Lineage: Eukaryota; Fungi; Ascomycota; Eurotiomycetes; Eurotiales; Aspergillaceae.